RNAcentral lists this ribosomal RNA (487 nucleotides) under uncultured Alphaproteobacteria bacterium. RNAcentral's name for it is "partial 16S ribosomal RNA". It matches the Rfam family "Bacterial small subunit ribosomal RNA", at positions 1051 to 1482 of the family's 1533-position model. The record is from RNAcentral. Lineage: Bacteria; Pseudomonadati; Pseudomonadota; Alphaproteobacteria.
GUCGUCAGUUCGUGUCGUGAGAUGUUUGGUUCAUUCCUUUAAACGAGCGUAACUCUUAUUUUUAAAAAUUUACUUUUAAUUUUUGAUUUUCAUCAAGAAUUUUUGCUUUAAAAAAACUGUUUGUUAACAAUUAAUACUUUAAAGGAAGGUGAGAAUUAAGUCAAGUCACUGUGGCCCUUAUGGGUUGGGCUACACACGUGCUACAAUGAAAAUGACAAAAAGUAACAAAAAUUAAAAACUUUCGUUAAUCUUUAAAAAUUUUCUUAGUUCAGAUUGUAAACUGCAACCCGUUUACAUAAAGAUGGAAUCACAAGUAAUCGCAAAUCAGAACGUUGCGGUGAAUACGUACCUUGGCUUUGUACACACCGCCCGUCACAUGCAGAAAGCUAGUUUUACUUUAAAUUAAAUUUUUUUUAUUUGUUCAAUUGAAGUGUUCAUAUGUGAAUAAAUAAAAAAUUUAAUCAUUAAAAAAUUAGUAAUUUGGAUG